AGUGAACGCUGGCGGUAGGCCUAACACAUGCAAGUCGAACGGCAGCACAGUAAGAGCUUGCUCUUACGGGUGGCGAGUGGCGGACGGGUGAGGAAUCCAUCGGAAUCUACUUUUUCGUGGGGGAUAACGUAGGGAAACUUACGCUAAUACCUCAUACGACCUACGGGUGAAAGCAGGGGAUCUUCGGGCCUUGCGCGAUUGAAUGAGCCGAUGUCGGAUUAGCUAGUUGGCGGGGUAAAGGCCCACCAAGGCGACGAUCCGUAGCUGGUCUGAGAGGAUGAGCAGCCACACUGGAACUGAGACACGGUCCAGACUCCUACGGGAGGCAGCAGUGGGGAAUAUUGGACAAUGGGCGCAAGCCUGAUCCAGCCAUACCGCGUGGGUGAAGAAGGCCUGCGGGUUGGAAAGCCCUUUUGUUGGGAAAGAAAAGCAGCAGGUUAAUACCCCGCUGUUCUGACGGUACCCAAAGAAUAAGCACCGGCUAACUUCGUG
RNAcentral lists this ribosomal RNA (492 nucleotides) under uncultured bacterium. Its description in RNAcentral is "partial 16S ribosomal RNA". It matches the Rfam family "Bacterial small subunit ribosomal RNA", at positions 29 to 507 of the family's 1533-position model. The record is from RNAcentral.